Daphnia magna is the source of this 471-nucleotide long non-coding RNA. RefSeq lists it as uncharacterized. The transcript has 2 exons. Lineage: Eukaryota; Metazoa; Arthropoda; Branchiopoda; Diplostraca; Daphniidae. The record is from RefSeq and is a predicted model, not a curated record.
GCCUGAGCUCUAGAACUGUAAAAGUGACUCACCCCUUCGGCGAUGGGCGGAGCUCAAUCUCGAAUGGACACUAGCACCACCACCAAAGAUUCUUUGAACUUCGUUGAGCAAUCGUCAGCAAAACAGUUAGUUGUCGACUUGUCGUUCUGGUAGCGUUUGGACGUUAGAGUUGUUGUUGAAAGUGUUGAAAUGGAAAGUUGCUGGUUGGGAAUAUUUGUCAGUGGAAGUCUCUCCUGUUUAAUGAAACAGCAAGGAUGCUUCGAUUUGAAAUCGAUUUUUCUUUCACGGACGGCUUUUACCCAAAGAUCUCGCAAAACUACAUCUGAAGGCAAUUCAUGUAAAAUAAUCCUCAUUUCCUUUGCCUCCUUCCCUCUACAAUUCCCGCAUGUAUUUACGAUGCACUUCACAACCAUUUUUUUCGACACGUUGAUUGUCAUAUACACAGUGUUAUCAAAAUCAAAUGAAAAAAGA